RNAcentral lists this ribosomal RNA (251 nucleotides) under uncultured prokaryote. Its description in RNAcentral is "partial 16S rRNA". It matches the Rfam family "Bacterial small subunit ribosomal RNA", at positions 525 to 775 of the family's 1533-position model. The record is from RNAcentral.
ACGGAGGGAGCUAGCGUUGUUCGGAAUUACUGGGCGUAAAGCGCACGUAGGCGGCUUUGUAAGUCAGAGGUGAAAGCCUGGAGCUCAACUCCAGAACUGCCUUUGAGACUGCAUCGCUUGAAUCCAGGAGAGGUGAGUGGAAUUCCGAGUAUAGAGGUGAAAUUCGUAGAUAUUCGGAAGAGCAGCAGUGGCGAAGGCGGCAAACUGGACUGGUAUUGACUCUGAGGUGCGAAAGCGUGGGGUGCACACAG